RNAcentral lists this long non-coding RNA (1784 nucleotides) under Microcebus murinus (gray mouse lemur). RNAcentral's name for it is "lncRNA (ENSMICG00000048428.1)". The record is from RNAcentral. Lineage: Eukaryota; Metazoa; Chordata; Mammalia; Primates; Cheirogaleidae.
GCUAUUUGGGUUCAAGCAAUAUUUUCAUUUCCUGACCCAACUUCCCUGCACAUAAAAAAUGAAACCCAACAAUCCAGCGGCAUCAGGCACCAGCACAGAGUGAGCAAAAGAGGCAGGCAGCGAGGAGCAAAAGCAGGACCCUGCGGCGCCAGGAGGCCGCAGCAAGUCAGGGGAAGUGGCUCGGUGACAAUUGUGAGCGCCCAGAAAGUUGUCCUGGCCGCAGCCCUUUGCUCCCUCCCGAAGCUGCGGUGGCCGAGGCUGCCUCCUGCUCGGCAGCAUCUCCCUUUGCUAAUGGGAUCUCCAGCCUGUGCUGUUCCCCUUUUUCUCCCCUCUUCUCCCUCUUUCUUCCCUAUUUUUUUUUUUUAACUUGGCUACGGAACAUUAGGUUUGACGAAGGGAAAGCGAUUUAACAUCUUUUAACUGAGGGAGGUUGAUUUUCAUUUGCGACCAAAUGGCUCCUUUUUACCUUUUUAGCUCCUGGAAGAGUAAAAAGUGAGAGGUCAGCCCUGCGUCACCAUGGCAACCCAGGCAGCUCAGGCCUGGAGCAGAUGAAGGGAGGUGAUAAUGGCAGGGAAGUUUCUCCCCCUUCCUUGGCAUUUUCUCCUCAUUCAGGGAAUGUUCCUGGAUGCAUGAAAACAAUUAUGUCUUUUUAGAAAUAUAAGUUUUAAAAUAUGGCUGUUAAUUACGGCCCAGGGCUCCGACCAUUCACAGAUCUUUCGGGGGUUUUGUUUGCAGUUGUGACCAUCUUUAUCCUCAUCAGUGACCACAGGGGCUUGAAUCACACCCGCGAGAUCGUGCAUGCCCCCACCCUGGCCAAAUCUGUCCUUCAAUCCAAGAGCCUACCUGCUGGCGUCCUGAAAGCCUGAAAUAUUAAUGAAGAGACAAUCAACCUCAGCACAUGAGACCUUAUUGGAGCCUCUCUGCAAAGAAAGUCUUGAUGCCAUUCCAGUUCAGGGACCUCAAAGAAUAAAGAGGAAAAGAGAACUUGAAAUGACAGACUUGCUAGAAAGCCAGAUUCAACCCUGCAGGAGUUGCCUGGGCCAGGGAAGGAAGGAAUGUCCACGAUCUCUGAGCUCAUGGACUCACACGUCCACUUCAUUCAGCCCAAUGUGGUCCUUGGUGCAUGGAGGCCAUGGUGACUAUGGCUUCACACCUGAGGGUGCCAGCAUGGGAUUAUUCUACUUGCUGGUGAAAAUUCUCAAGUCUGUGAAUCAACUGCAACGUGGUUUGACACACGCUGAGCUCUGUCUGCUCUGUUUCACCAGUUGGUGGUUUCUAAAUGGUUGGAACACAUCAUAGCCCGGCACAUAGUCCAAAUUAACUAUAUGCUCCGUGGAUGCUAUCAGCUGAUGCGUCUGACAAGCGUUUCCUAUGCCCAAAUAAGAGCCAUCUCAGCAGUUCUCCUGAGUGAGCCUCCCUGCAUGUGUGUGCACGUGGAACUCGUGUCACAUUCUCCUUAAGGCUGCAGUGAGCUCGUCUCUGUGGGCCUCCCAAAACACCAGGCUGGAAGCCCUGGAGCUGUCUCCAGGAGCCAUCACGCCAGUUCGUAAUGACCACUAGAGUAUGGCAUUAUAUAGACAUCCAGUGGAGGAAUUAAUUAUGGGGAACAUGAAGUCCUUCUAGGAACAGACUGAAGAUUUAACACCUCCCAGGUGAAUACUGUGCGGUGGGAGUGAGGAAGCAGCUCCGUUGGCUCAAUGCGGCAGGGAGCCUGCUCUACAUAACAAUGGCCCGGGAGGUGCACCUGAUUAAACCAGCUCAGCUCCAGGGUUGCCCCUGUCAGC